RNAcentral lists this ribosomal RNA (492 nucleotides) under uncultured bacterium. RNAcentral describes it as "partial 16S ribosomal RNA". It matches the Rfam family "Bacterial small subunit ribosomal RNA", at positions 29 to 507 of the family's 1533-position model. The record is from RNAcentral.
AGUGAACGCUGGCGGUAGGCCUAACACAUGCAAGUCGAACGGCAGCACAGUAAGAGCUUGCUCUUACGGGUGGCGAGUGGCGGACGGGUGAGGAAUACAUCGGAAUCUACUUUUUCGUGGGGGAUAACGUAGGGAAACUUACGCUAAUACCGCAUACGACCUACGGGUGAAAGCAGGGGAUCUUCGGACCUUGCGCGAUUGAAUGAGCCGAUGUCGGAUUAGCUAGUUGGCGGGGUAAAGGCCCACCAAGGCGACGAUCCGUAGCUGGUCUGAGAGGAUGAUCAGCCACACUGGAACGGAGACACGGUCCAGACUCCUACGGGAGGCAGCAGUGGGGAAUAUUGGACAAUGGGCGCAAGCCUGAUCCAGCCAUACCGCGUGGGUGAAGAAGGCCUUCGGGUUGUAAAGCCCUUCUGUUGGGAAAGAAAAGCAGCAGGUUAAUACCCCGCUGUUCUGACGGUACCCAAAGAAUAAGCACCGGCUAACUUCGUG